UAUUUCUCUGCGGUCAGAAACCUGCACCCUCCCCCCCCAAAUGAAAAAAAAAAAACCCGACCCAGACGAUCAUCACAUGGCGAUUGCUUUGAACCAGCUGUUUCCAGAGCCAAAGUCUUGCGGAGAAAAAUAAAGGGGGAAGGGAGGGAAGGAGGGGAGGGCUGGCAGGGGGGCCGGAGGAGGAGAGAAAGCCGCAGCGGAGGGAGGGCGGGUGGAGAGAGGGCGGGCGGCGGAGCGGCGGGGGGGGCGGGGGAGGGGGGAGCAGCACCGCGGCGGCUGUGUCGCUGCCGGAGCGGCACCCGGGGCCGGCGGCGGUGGCAGCCCGGCCGGUGGAGGCGGAGGAGAGAAGGCGGCGCUGCUGUGCUGCUGCUGCUGCUGCCGCGGCCGCUGCUGCUGCCCGGCUCCGCCGCCCGCCGCCGCCUCCCGCGCCCCGGCCCGGCGCCGCCCCCGCCCCUCAAUCGCUACAUUGUUGACAUUCGCAGGCUGACGUCACCCUCCCCGCCCCGCCGCGCGCUCCAUUCACAACAACACUACGACAACGGCGCAGCGCCCGCCGCCGCGCCUACGCCCGCCGCGGCCCCUACGCACGGGGAGCGGCGUACGGCCGCUCCGCGAAUAGCGGUGGCGCCGCCGGCGCUCCGCCCGCCCCGCCCCUCCGCAAGCGGUCAGCGCAUGCGCGGCACGGGCUCGCUCGCUCCCUCCCUCCCGGGGCCGCGUGUGUGUGUUUGUGUGUGCGUGUCUGUGUCUGUGUAUGUGUGUAUGUAUGUGUGUGUGUGUAUGUAUGUAUGUAUGUGUGUGUGUGUCUGUGUGCAUGUACGUAUGUAUGUGUAUCUGUCUGUGAAUAUGUGUGUGUGUGUGUGUGCGCGCGCGAGAGAGGGGGUGCGUGCUUGCGUGCGUGCGCGCGUGCCGCCAGACCCCGCACCGGGGGUCGCGCCGCCGGCCGCGGGGGGCUCUGGGAGCCGUAGUCCGCCGCGAGGGGCCGCCAUGGCGGCGGGGGUGGCCUGA
This 1005-nucleotide long non-coding RNA is filed under the name Taeniopygia guttata (zebra finch). Its description in RNAcentral is "lncRNA (ENSTGUG00000025640.1)". Lineage: Eukaryota; Metazoa; Chordata; Aves; Passeriformes; Estrildidae. The record is from RNAcentral.